RNAcentral lists this ribosomal RNA (913 nucleotides) under Dothiorella americana. Its description in RNAcentral is "LSU rRNA". It matches the Rfam family "Eukaryotic large subunit ribosomal RNA", at positions 34 to 965 of the family's 3401-position model. The record is from RNAcentral. Lineage: Eukaryota; Fungi; Ascomycota; Dothideomycetes; Botryosphaeriales; Botryosphaeriaceae.
UUAAGCAUAUCAAUAAGCGGAGGAAAAGAAACCAACUGGGAUUGCCUUAGUAACGGCGAGUGAAGCGGCAAUAGCUCAAAUUUGAAAGCUGGCCCCUUUGGGGUCCGCGUUGUAAUUUGUAGAGGAUGAUUCGGCGAGGGCUCCCGUCUAAGUCCCCUGGAACGGGGCGUCAUAGAGGGUGAGAAUCCCGUAUGUGAUGGGUUGCCUUAGCCAUGUGAAUCUCCUUCGACGAGUCGAGUUGUUUGGGAAUGCAGCUCUAAAUGGGAGGUAAAUUUCUUCUAAAGCUAAAUACCGGCCAGAGACCGAUAGCGCACAAGUAGAGUGAUCGAAAGAUGAAAAGCACUUUGGAAAGAGAGUUAAAAAGUACGUGAAAUUGUUGAAAGGGAAGCGCUUGCAGCCAGACUUGUCCGCAGUUGCUCAGCCGGUCUCCUGACCGGCGUACUCUUCUGCGGCCAGGCCAGCAUCAGUUCGGGCGGUCGGAUAAAGACCUCGGGAAUGUAGCUCCUCUCGGGGAGUGUUAUAGCCCGGGGUGGAAUGCGGCCAGCCUGGACUGAGGAUCUCGCUUCGGCUAGGAUGCUGGCGUAAUGGCUGUAAGCGGCCCGUCUUGAAACACGGACCAAGGAGUCUAACAUCUAUGCGAGUGUUUGGGUGUCAAACCCAUACGCGUAAUGAAAGUGAACGGAGGUGGGAACCCUCACGGGUGCACCAUCGACCGAUCCUGAUGUCUUCGGAUGGAUUUGAGUAUGAGCAUAGCUGUUGGGACCCGAAAGAUGGUGAACUAUGCCUGAAUAGGGUGAAGCCAGAGGAAACUCUGGUGGAGGCUCGCAGCGGUUCUGACGUGCAAAUCGAUCGUCAAAUUUGGGUAUAGGGGCGAAAGACUAAUCGAACCAUCUAGUAGCUGGUUCCUGCCGAG